CAAUAGCGUAUAUUAAAGUUGUUGCGGUUAAAAGCUCGUAGUUGGAUUUCUGCUGAGGACGACCGGUCCGCCCUCUGGGUGAGUAUCUGGUUCGGCCUGGGCAUCUUCUUGGAGAGCGUAGCUGCACUUGACUGUGUGGUGCGGUAUCCAGGACUUUUACUUUGAGGAAAUUAGAGUGUUUCAAGCAGGCACACGCCUUGAAUACAUUAGCAUGGAAUAAUGGAAUAGGACUACGGUCUCUUUGUUGGUUUGAGGGACUGCAGUAAUGAUUAAUAGGGAUAGUUGGGGGCAUUAGUAUUUAAUUGUCAGAGGUGGAAUUCUCGGAUUUGUUAAAGACUAACUUAUGCGAAAGCAUUUGCCAAGGAUGUUUUCAUUAAUCAAGAACGAAAGUUAGGGGAUCAAAGACGAUUAGAUACCAU
This 419-nucleotide ribosomal RNA is filed under the name uncultured eukaryote. RNAcentral describes it as "SSU rRNA". It matches the Rfam family "Eukaryotic small subunit ribosomal RNA", at positions 592 to 1018 of the family's 1831-position model. The record is from RNAcentral.